GGUUGCCACUGCGACAGAGGGUGUUUAGCACCCGAGACCAUAUGGCUCUGUUGUGUAGAAUUUGUAAGGGUAGUCUUUUUUGUAGAAGCAGUAGUUUAGCCAUAUGUGUCCUGUCAAGGACGAUUUUCGGGUUGGGUGUUUCGAUAUAAAUGAGGCCGCUUUUAAAGUUCUCUGACGAAAUGAUUUUGGAUUGGAAGUUAUCGGAUGGGGGAGUAAGGUGGAGAGUGAUUUGGAGUGCCUGGGAAGAGGUGUUUGAAGGGAUUUUGGCAGAUUUGUGACAAUAUUUUAGGGUAUUUUGAUUCGUUUUGAGAUUGGCAAGUGAAGUUGGAGUUAUGAGAGACAGACGAAAUUCCAGGAAGUGCUAUGGAUAUUGUUGUCACUGACGACAAUACAACCGUAUUGCAGCCUGAAUCCAGC
Molecule: long non-coding RNA, 417 nt
Organism: Paramacrobiotus metropolitanus
Lineage: Eukaryota; Metazoa; Tardigrada; Eutardigrada; Parachela; Macrobiotidae
Exons: 4
Source: RefSeq, a predicted model, not a curated record